This 334-nucleotide unclassified non-coding RNA is filed under the name soil metagenome. Its description in RNAcentral is "partial contains 5.8S ribosomal RNA, internal transcribed spacer 2, and large subunit ribosomal RNA". The stretch from base 1 to 120 matches the Rfam family "5.8S ribosomal RNA", at positions 35 to 154 of the family's 154-position model. The record is from RNAcentral.
GAUGAAGAACGUAGCGAAAUGCGAUAAGUAAUGUGAAUUGCAGAAUUCAGUGAAUCAUCGAAUCUUUGAACGCACAUUGCGCCCGCGAGUAUUCUGGCGGGCAUGCCUGUUCGAGCGUCAUUUCAACCAUCAAGCCCCAGGCUUGUGUUGGAGCCCUGCGGCUGCCGCAGCCUCCCAAAACCAGUGGCGGGCUCGCUAUCACACCGAGUGCAGUAGUUUACUCUUCGCUCAGGGCGUGUGGCGGGUGCUAGCCGUGAAACCCCCAACUUCUCAAGGUUGACCUCGGAUCAGGUAGGAAUACCCGCUGAACUUAAGCAUAUCAAUAAGCGGAGGA